RNAcentral lists this ribosomal RNA (752 nucleotides) under uncultured bacterium. RNAcentral describes it as "bacterial SSU rRNA". It matches the Rfam family "Bacterial small subunit ribosomal RNA", at positions 8 to 796 of the family's 1533-position model. The record is from RNAcentral.
AGAGUUUGAUCAUGGCUCAGGAUGAACGCUGGCGGCGUGGAUAAGGCAUGCAAGUCAAGCGGGUCCGUAGCAAUACGGAUACCGCGGCGAACGAGUUAGUAACACCUUGGUAUCUGCCUCCGAGUCGGGCACAACCAGUCGAAAGAUUGGCUAAUUCCCGAUAGUCUCGCAAGAGUAAAGUCGCAAGACGCUUGGAGAGGAGCCUAGGUCCUAUCAGCUUGUUGGCGGGGUAACGGCCCACCAAGGCUAUGACGGGUAGGGGGCGUGAGAGCGCGACCCUCAACGACGAAACUGAGAUACGGUUCGUACACCUACGGGUGGCAGCAGUCAAGAACAUUCGACAAUGGGCGAAAGCCUGAUCGAGCGACGCCGCGUGCAGGAAGAAGGGCUUCGGCCUGUAAACUGCUUUUGCGUGGGAAGAACUUUGACGGUACCACGAGAAUAAGGGGUUGCUAACCUCGUGCCAGCAGCAGCGGUAAUACGAGGACCCCGAGCGUUAUCCGGAAUUACUGGGCGUAAAGCGUGAGCAUCCGGUUUUGCUAGUCUCAUGUUAAAUUUCAUUGCUCAACGAUGAAACCGCGUGGGAAACGGCACAACUAGAGUGGGUAAGAGGCAAGCGGAACGUGCAGUGUAGGGGUGAAAUCCAUUGAUAUUGCACGGAACACCAAAAGCGAAAGCAGCUUGCUAGUGCUCUACUGACGGUCAAUCACUAAAGCGUGGGAAUCAAAAAGGAUUAGAUACCCUAGUAGUCC